RNAcentral lists this unclassified non-coding RNA (233 nucleotides) under uncultured fungus. RNAcentral describes it as "sequence contains ITS1". Lineage: Eukaryota; Fungi. The record is from RNAcentral.
GUAUUGUAUUGCGUUAAACGCGGCAUACAUUCCAUGAGACUUUAUAUAGAGUGUGUGUGUAAAGACAUAGAACCACAGCAGGAGGGCAGGGCCCCCCACACCAUAGAACUACAGAGGGUGCACAGGUGUGAGUGGAUGUGUAAACAGAGCGUGCACAUGCCCCCAUUUGAGGGCCAGCAACAACUCGUGUUGACAGUUCAGUAAUGAUCCUUCCGCAGGUUCACCUACGGAAA